GGGGGUUUAGCUCAGCGGCAUAAGCGCCUGCCUUGCAAGCAGGCAGUUGUGAAUUCAAUCCCUG
This 64-nucleotide transfer RNA is filed under the name Cavia porcellus (domestic guinea pig). It matches the Rfam family "tRNA". From Rfam's summary of the family: Transfer RNA (tRNA) molecules are approximately 80 nucleotides in length. Their secondary structure includes four short double-helical elements and three loops (D, anti-codon, and T loops). Lineage: Eukaryota; Metazoa; Chordata; Mammalia; Rodentia; Caviidae. The record is from Rfam by way of RNAcentral.